CAUAUAUAGUAACACUAAUUCAACGGUAUCUCAAAUUUGCGUGGUAACUGGCAAAUGAUCAGUAAUUUCUAUUAUUUAGAAGUGGGAGUUUGAGGGUACGAACAUGGCAUUCCUGAACUGUCCAAAACGAAGUGUGAAUAGUACUCUAUGUUUGGCCCAUAGUUGUUGGUGAAGUAACACGUGUCUGCACUUUUCCUUUACCUUACCACGUGUAAUUCAUUUCAAAUGCUCCUCUGUUUCAAUUUGCAGAGUGCAGACAGAUUACAACUCCUCUAAUUUUCUCUCCUUCGCACACUCUGCAAGUUUAGUGAGUUUUACAAUUCGUCUGGGCUUCUUUUGAUCCUUUGUGUUUGAGAUUUCUCCUCUGUCUAUGUUCAUAUUUCUUUCAUAAAUUCUGUCUUUUUGUGAUUUUUCAUUCUGCUUGCCUCAAUUUUCUAGCGUCUAUUGUGUUUAUUAAGUUUUAUAAAUUUUCUCCCCUGUUUCUUUUUCUUGUGUUGUGUUCUGGAUUUCAUUUCUAGAUUUCUUUGAAAGUUUUGUCUAUUUUUGUUCGAUGUUGGUUUCUCUAUUCUUUUGAAUAAUUUCUUGCUAGAUUUUCUACAUUCAUGUCUGGUAUUUCUAUCUCAUUUGAUAUGCAUGUCUUCCUUACUUCUGCUUUUGGCCAUGAAUUCUUGAUUCAUUUCAAAAUUUCUAUUGUGGUUCCCCUUUGUAUGUGGAUUUGCUGAUUUUUGUUCUCUGUUUCUUCUUGAUGAGCAUUUAGAUGUUCGAUUUUAUUUUUUGACAAGAUUAUUGAUUUACAAUUUUCACUCUCUCUCAAAGUAUCUUUGCCUUUCGCUUUGUUUUUCUUUUUAAUACUCCUACAGAGUAUGUGAUUUUGGAUAUUUGUUUGUUUCUCCUCUUUCUUCAUGUAUGUAGUUAUUUUUAAGAACUCUUCUACAGAAGCACUGAAUUGCCAUCAGGAAUAAAUAGUAGUAACAAAAAUGGAAGAACUUUGAUGCAGCAAAAGUGUUUGACAAUAAACCUGAAACAAUUGAACAAGUUUUUAUUCCUUUUUUUUCCAGUUGUUCUAUUACAUAAACAUACUAUCAUUUAGCAACUCAAAACAACAACAACAAUUAGUGAGAUCCCACAAAUGGGGUCUGGGGAGGUAGUGUGUACGCAGACCUUACCCCUGGUAGACCCUCGGCACAAGAAGGAUCAUUUAGCAACUCCAAAUCAGGUAACUAAAUGGGAGUUGACAAGACAAUACGACCCAUUAAAAUAUAAGUUACCCAUACAUGGAUUCGGUUAGAUGAAACCAUCCCAAAGGGUCAGGACAAGAGCUUGCGGAAGAAGAUCUACAAGUGUUAACACAAGUGUUAAGAAGUCAAUUUUUGCUCCAUGCUGGUUCCAAUUUCGUAUUUUAUAUGCAGGUACUUUGUGAUAACAAUGGGAUAUAUUUGAACAUGAAUAUGUGUCCAAUGAUAUAAAAAUAUGGGUUUGAGUAGAAUUGACAUGUAACCCGUGGCGGACGCACAUGGUGGCAAGCGGGUUCAACCGAACCCGCUUCAUCAAAAAUAAUACUGUGUAUAUGUAUAAAUUAGGAUUAAAGCUGCGUAAAUUUUGUAUAAAUAUUUUAUUUGAACCCACUUAACAACUACUAUUUUACAACUAAAGUUAUGUACUUCUAAUAUUGAACCCGCUUGCAUAAAAUUCUGGGUCCGCCACUGCAUGUAACCACAUAGUUUAAAGGAGCAAUGCUCUCGACUUCUAAAGUAACCAAAUUCCCAAGCUUUCUAGAUUAGUUAUGAACUCUUGCAAGGCAUGUGAACUUGAUUUUGGUAAUGUUUUCAUGCAUGAUUAUGUAGUUAAAAGAAAUUCUUGCUUGAGAUUUUAAUGAAUUAAAUAGAUUCGUCAAGCCUUUCUUGUGAGCUUAUCUCAAAGUUAUGAUAUAUACAAAUUUAUUAUAAGCUUAAUGAUAUCAUCUAGACAUGGGCAUCUUUAUAUGAAUGCACAUGCUUAAUCUUAGCUAGCAACUUUCUGUGAUGUUUCAUAUGUUUUCUGUUUUAGUUUGGUGUAAGUGACAUUUUGACCUACAUUGAUGCAAAAUAUGAAGUUGUGAAGUCUUACAUAUUUUGGUAUAUGUACCACGUGAACUUUUCAAAUCCAAAUUUACUCGAGUCACAGGGGAGAUGGCCCAAAAGUUGCAAAGUGAUUGAAGAUGUACAAUUUUUCUCUCUUUAUAUUUCUUUCUUGACUCCGUUUUUGGGGUAUGAACAAGUAGUUGUAUGUUCUGUGAUCGGAAUUUGGACCCAUCGCCUGUAUUUUCUCCACUUCGUAUAACGAUAUUGCUUAUCCAUUUGGCCUGAAUCAAACUUGGAUAAGAAUAGCUUGCACAAGACUUUGCUUUUUUCAGGUAUUAAUAUCUAUAGAAGGGAAAGAACAUGUGAUGAACAAAAAGAGCAAGAGCCAUCAAGAGGGGCUUGGAACUUUUAGAGAGAGUAAAGUGGUAGCUUCAUGAGAAUCCUGUGUUGAAAUAGAUUUUCGACUUGACAUUUCUGAAAACAAGUUGUUUCCAUCUUCCUUUGAUUUUUGCUAAGGGAGUUGCAUCUUAGUCCACCUAGGGAGUAGCGGAUGAUAAAUUGAUCACAUUACUGAAGGAUAAACUUGGGAUAAGAAAACUCUAAUGCUACUUGAUGCCUUUUACAAUGUAUCUGCUAGCCGAUUUUUUGAGUCCUUUAUAUAUAACUUGGCAGCUUAUGAUGCUCCAUUGUUGGCAAGAUUAUUGUUCAUAUCGUCCAGAUUCCACAGACGUCAUUAUGACCAACAACAAAUUUUUCGAGUAUUAUAAAUAGAUACUUUUUACCUGUUAACGAGAACUCUAAUUUUUUUGCUGAUUAAUUAUAGAAGAGGCAAACGUGUAAUAAUUUAGUACCUACAAUUCAAUCAAGUUAGUUUUACCUUAUUGUGUGAUUAGUUAUAUCUAUUUUAUAUGUGAAAUAUAGCUGGGCAAUUUUUAAUGUACUUAUCCUAUUUAUUUGAAAACAUCCUCAUAAGUUUAGCUAUUUUUAUAGGAGUUUCCUCUAUACUUCGCUAUGGCAUAAACUGCAAUUCGCCUUGGAUUGUUCAAUAAUAUUUUGAUUUGAUUUCUCAUUUCAUCAAAUAAAUCUUUGUGCUAAUAGAUACUAUGUUUGUCUUAAGGGUUUAGAGUUCUUACGAACUCCUUUGAGAUGAAAAAACCUUUUGUUUAUUUUUUAAUUAGCAGUUAUGAUUUCCUUGCUUGCUUACUCAGUAGUUAUUAAUGUCAAGUAUCACUUGAUUACACAUAUUACAGUUUGUUAUGAUGAUUGGUUCUUUUACAUGGUAGCAUGAGUUAUUAAUGAGCAAACAUAGUUCUUUCGUAUUAACUGUCCUGCCAUGUUAUGUCGAAGAGAUUAUCAUUUGCAAUUAUAUCUUGCAACAUAAAUAAGAGACAGUUCUUUUGUUGCUUGAUGCUCGGGACAGGACAACAGUGUUAUAUUUUCUUGUGAAAAAAUAAUAUUUUACCUAUUUGUUUUUCACUUAGCAGAGAUUCGUGAAGGCUGCGAGGUGGUUACAAUAUCAUAUGAGGAAGCUAAGAAAAAGUCAAAGAUAAUUGUAAGCUCCAUAGAAGCUGAAAACUGACAUGAAAUUCACAUAUGUUGCUACCUGCCAUAAUUAUGAGAAUCAAAAGAGAAGAUGUACAACUGCUAUUUUAGACAUAAUGGUCAGGUAGGUUUCUGGUUUUUCAAAAGGAACAGGUAAAAUAUCCAAGAAGUUGAAUUCUUCUCUACUCAAAUGGAUUUAAAUGAUUUUGGUGAAAUCUGCUUCCUGUGUAACAUGUGCAGCAAUUCCUCUCUCCGUGUGGCAUAUAUUAAAUGCUGAGUUUAAUUGAUUUUCAGUACAGCGGGCAAAGGAUGAACCACACCACAUUAAUUGUUCUAGAAUUGCCAUUCGUCUAAUUGCUCUUUGUGAUGCAACGCACCAUGGAAAAGAAACGACGACACAUACAAUGCUCAAGAAUCCUUUCAACUGGCAUUCUGUUGCUGGUAUCAAGCGGUGAUCCUACUGCUACUAUUCCCCAACUGAGUUCUUUAUAAUUCAAAAUGGUGAUGAUAUGUAGAAACUAAAGAAUAUAGAAAUGCAUUCUCUUGCAAACAAUUGGUGACGAGCAUUCAGUAAACUAAUGAGUCCAAAGUGCAAGAGAAGCCAAGUGUAAUCCACUAUGUUACUUAGUUUGCUCUUUGCUGUUGUGAAUUUUUUUUACUGCAUAUAAAAGUUGAACAAGCAAGAAGAAUAUACCAGCUUUCUGGAUAAGAAGUGGGCAUUGACUGAGGCAACAAACUUUAUAAGGAAUUUGGAGAAUCUAUCUGAAAUGUAGUCUCUAUAUUUCAACCUGUCCAGCAUUCAUUAUUUUGGUAAAACUCAAGUUUGUGCAGA
Long non-coding RNA from Nicotiana tabacum (common tobacco), 4434 nucleotides. RefSeq lists it as uncharacterized. Lineage: Eukaryota; Viridiplantae; Streptophyta; Magnoliopsida; Solanales; Solanaceae. The record is from RefSeq and is a predicted model, not a curated record.